GGGAAAGUUGAAAAGAACUUUGAAGAGAGAGUUCAAUAGUACGUGAAACCGUUCAGGGGUAAACCUGAGAAACCCAAAAGAUCGAAUGGGGAGAUUCAUCGUCAGCCGCUUUGGCUUCCGUGUGAACGCGAUGAUCGGGGCUUCGGCUCUGCGUCACGCGUUUGCUGCGGCAUGUCUGGAGUGGUCGGCGUGCACUUCUCCCCUAGUAGGACGUCGCGAUUCGUUGGGUGUCGGUUUACGGACCGGUAGGUCGCCUGGCGUAUCUCGUUCACGCGAGUUUGUGUCAGACCUCUGGAUUCCCAACCGGCUGCCCGGCGGUAUAAAACGAUAAUUAAACGGUAUUGGGCCGCAUUGAAUGCGUUCAGGCUCGUAGGCAGGCUUGUCUCGCUCGGAUUUACGGACCUAGUGCCGUUGCCGGGUGCUUGGCGAACUGUGGCUUGCGAUGUCCUCGGACUGGCUCUUGAAUAUUCUUACGAAUAUACCGAUCGGCGACGCUACUGCUUUGGGUACUUUCAGGACCCGUCUUGAAACACGGACCAAGGAGUCUAACAUGUGCGCGAGUCAUUGGGUCAAUUAAAGCCUAAAGGCGCAAUGAAAGUAAAGGUCGUCCUUUGCGUCGACCGAGGGAGGAUGGCUCGCGUCACGAUGCGAGCCCGCACUCCCGGGGCAUCUCGUGUUCAUUGCGAACAGAGGUGCACCCAGAGCGCACACGUUGGGACCCG
This 722-nucleotide ribosomal RNA is filed under the name Encarsia inaron. RNAcentral describes it as "eukaryotic LSU rRNA". It matches the Rfam family "Eukaryotic large subunit ribosomal RNA", at positions 357 to 818 of the family's 3401-position model. Lineage: Eukaryota; Metazoa; Arthropoda; Insecta; Hymenoptera; Aphelinidae. The record is from RNAcentral.